Molecule: ribosomal RNA, 301 nt
Filed under: uncultured bacterium
Lineage: Bacteria
Description: partial 16S ribosomal RNA
Rfam family: Bacterial small subunit ribosomal RNA
Source: RNAcentral
CAGCAGCCACGGUAAUACGAAGGGGGCUAGCGUUGUUCGGAAUUACUGGGCGUAAAGCGCACGUAGGCGGACAUUUAAGUCAGGGGUGAAAUCCCGGGGCUCAACCCCGGAACUGCCUUUGAUACUGGGUGUCUAGAGUAUGGAAGAGGUGAGUGGAAUUCCGAGUGUAGAGGUGAAAUUCGUAGAUAUUCGGAGGAACACCAGUGGCGAAGGCGGCUCACUGGUCCAUUACUGACGCUGAGGUGCGAAAGCGUGGGGAGCAAACAGGAUUAGAUACCCCUGUAGUCCCUGUCUCUUAUAC